AACGAACGCUGGCGGCAUGCCUAACACAUGCAAGUCGAACGAGACCUUCGGGUUUCGCGGCGCACGGGUGCGUACUCCGUUGGAACCUGCGUUUGGGUUCGGAAUAACUUCCCGAACGGGGUGCUAAUACCGGCUAAUGUCCUCGGUCCAAAGAUUUAUAGCCUUUGGGUGUGCCCGCGUUGGUUUAGAUCGUUGUUAGGGUAGAGGGCUACCAAGCCGCGGGUUAUUAGCUGGUCAGUGAGGAUGAGAAGCAACACUGGGACUGAGACACGGCACAAGGGCCUACGGGAAGCAGCAGGGGGGAAGAUUGGAGAAUGGGCGAAGGCCUGAUCCAGCAAGGCCGCGGGAGGUAUGAAGGUCUUAGGGGUGAAAAGCUCUUUUAGCUGGGAGGGUAAUGACGGUACCGGGAGAAGAAGCACCGGCUAACUCCGUG
This 433-nucleotide ribosomal RNA is filed under the name uncultured bacterium. RNAcentral describes it as "partial 16S ribosomal RNA". It matches the Rfam family "Bacterial small subunit ribosomal RNA", at positions 29 to 507 of the family's 1533-position model. The record is from RNAcentral.